GUAUGGAAACCUACUAAGUGAUAACUUUCAAAUUCAGGGAAACCCCGGAAUUCACAAAAAUGGGCAAUCCUGAGCCAAAUCCUGUUUUCUCAAAAGAAAGGUUCAGAAAACGAAAAAAAAAAGGAUAGGUCCAGAGACUCAAUGGAAGCUGUUCUAACAAAUGGGGGCACCGGCAGAGGAAUCUUUCCACCAAAACGUCAGAAAGGAUCAAAACCCAUCUUUUUUUUACUAUAAAAAAAAUGAUUAAUAUUAAUAAUGGCCCGAAUCUCUAGAUGUUUUUUUUAUAUGAAAAAUCGAAGCAGGAUUGGUGUGAAUUCAUUCGACAUUCACGAAAAAAUAAAAUUUUGAUUCAUCAAAUCAUUCACUCCAUAGUCCGAUAAACCUUUUAAAGAACUGAUCACUCGGACAAGAAUAAAGAUAGAGUCCCUUCUACAUGUCAAUACCGGCAACAAUGAAAUUUAUAGUAAGAGGAAAAUCCGUUGACUUUUUAAAUCGUGAGGGUUCAAGUCCCUCUAUCCCCAUAAGUCCCUCUAUCCCCAAAAACCUUUAUCCUAUCCCUUUUUUUAGUGGUUCUCCUUUAUCUUUCUCAUUCUUUUAGAAACGUAUUGGGGCGUAAAUGACUUUAUCUUAUCACAUGUGAUAUAGAAUGCACAUACAAAUUAAGCAAGGAAUCCCUAUGUGAAUGAUUCACAAUCAAUAGCAUUACUCACACUGAAACUUACAAAGACGUCUUUUUGAAAAUGUAAGAAAUUACUACAGGACUUGAGCAAAACUUUGCAAUCCCCCCUUGUACCUUUAAUUGACAUAGACCCCAGUCAUCUCAUAAAAUGAGCAUGGGAUGCUACAUUGGAAAUGGUCGGGAUAGCUCAGCU
This 872-nucleotide unclassified non-coding RNA is filed under the name Sairocarpus multiflorus. RNAcentral's name for it is "partial contains tRNA-Leu (trnL) gene and trnL-trnF spacer region". The stretch from base 1 to 446 matches the Rfam family "Group I catalytic intron", at positions 27 to 253 of the family's 253-position model. Rfam says of the family: Group I catalytic introns are large self-splicing ribozymes. They catalyse their own excision from mRNA, tRNA and rRNA precursors in a wide range of organisms. The core secondary structure consists of 9 paired regions (P1-P9). Lineage: Eukaryota; Viridiplantae; Streptophyta; Magnoliopsida; Lamiales; Plantaginaceae. The record is from RNAcentral.